CGCGUAGGCGGCUUAGUAAGUCAAAUGUGAAAGCCCCGGGCUUAACCUGGGAAUUGCAUUCGAUACUGCUGAGCUAGAGUAUGGUAGAGGGAAGUGGAAUUUCCGGUGUAGCGGUGAAAUGCGUAGAUAUCGGAAGGAACACCAGUGGCGAAGGCGACUUCCUGGGCCAAUACUGACGCUGAGGUGCGAAAGCGUGGGGAGCAAACA
Molecule: ribosomal RNA, 207 nt
Filed under: uncultured bacterium
Lineage: Bacteria
Description: partial 16S ribosomal RNA
Rfam family: Bacterial small subunit ribosomal RNA
Source: RNAcentral